UGUAUAAAUAUUCCGGGCCACGCAUAACUGUGCUUUCUCUGGGCAAAAACCAAAACAAAACAAAUUUCGCAUAGAAAAGUGUAUUUUUAGAGUAUUAACGUAUCGGCUAUCAGGAGGAUGCAUGUAAGAAAGUGCUCCCCAGCGUGGGGGGACUAUGCUAUUUUACGAGCUGUAUUUCACAUUUUCACAGGUCACCGCCACGCACACAAUCACAAAUAGACACGCACACGCAUACGAAUACGCACAUAAACACAUUUGUCCAAGGGAGCGCGACAAUUGCCUGAACGGCGCGGCCGGCCUUGUGGGACAUUUUGCAUGGAGCAGAGGAUGCGAUGCGAUGCGAUGCGAUGGUCCGGCACUGGAGGAGGAAACCUAAUGAGCGCGUACCGCCCACGCAAUGAAACGGGCCAGAGACACACACACACACACACACACACAUACUAGGCAAUUUUGGGCUGCUGUCUCGGAUCUCGGGAGCCCUCAUAUCUGUGGUUUUCAUGGAAUCAACUGACCAGAAUGGUGUACUCUGGCCUUCUCAGCCAAGUUACACCUGCAUCUGCCUGGGGAUUUAUUCGACAUCAACCUAACAAAUUCCGAUAUGAACCAUCAUCACAAAACCGACGGAAGCCCCCGUGGUCGUGACCCCGUACCCUCAAUGGUUCAUAUUUUGUCAUAAUUUAUGUCGCUCUGGGUGUUGUUGCUGAUGUUUUGGGUUGGCUUCUUCUGGUCCUGGUCCUGGCCCUCCUCUGCAUCCGCUCCAGGCCAAGCAGCACCAUCACCAGCACCGCAGCAGGGCAUAUCUGUCAGAAGAUGCUGCGCGAGAGAGGAGGGAUGCUGCUACAGGAUGGACUCUGAUGUGCAGAUGGAUACAGGAUAGCAGAGAGAGCAGACACACGGAUACACUGAGACAAACAAACUUUAAGGACUCCUUCCUCGCGCGAGUAUUUUCGGGCAGUGUAUGCCUGGUUCCCCCUCGCGGCGUGGUGGCCCCGCAUGUUACGCAUUUCCUCUUGGGAUUCCAGGGCAUUGGGCGCUGUUCUUUUGAUAUUGUAAUGUGCAUAAUAGGAUUUUUAUGACACCUUUACUGUGGGGGCGGGCGGGCAUCAGGCAUCGCCAAUGGCACCAAUGGCUGCUGCCUCGCCUAAUCGCCAGAAGGACUGGCAGACUGGCCCCCUGUUUCCGCUGCUGAUGCUCUCCUUCUUGUCACCAAAAAGUUGCAAAUUUUAUUGGCCGGAUGUGCGGAUGUGCGGAUGUGCGGCAGCGGCAUGUGGAUUGUGGAUUUGCAUCAGAUCAUGAAUUUCACACGAUGGUAAUGGCCACAUUAGCAUUGACUACACGCAUUUAUGGCCCAGACCACACCCCAACCCCCAACCCCACCUCCAUUCUCCGGCCCAGGGGUAAGGUAAGUGCAUGUGCUAAAUUUUUAAUAUGCAAAUUUCGUUUCAGGGCUGCCGCCUGUGCGCUCACCUUUCGCAUUUCAUUUACACUUGUGCUGCAUAUUUUAUUGUGUUGUAUGUACACGGCAUUAUUGCACACAAAUGGCCAGUUACAUAUUAAGCCGAACAAUAACCGCCGACUGUGUUGUCAGGACUCUGGGGGAAACCCGGAUGUGGAUGUGGAUGCGAAUGUGGAUAUGGGUCCUCCAGAUGGCUGGCAAAAUGCCAUUUGAUUCGAGCGACACUUGGGGCUGUCUCUGUCUCCUGCUCCUGCCUCGUUGCGCAUCGUUUGGGAGCCCCUCCUCUCUAAUGGCUGUACGGAAUUAAUUUUCCAAAACCUUUUGAAAGGUGUCGCCUCCAUGCAAUUCCAAGGAGAUCGAUAAGUCCAGGGAGAGCUAAAUUGUGGAUUUACAUUGAGAGGCCACAGUAAAUCAUCGUUCUGCGAGUACGAGUAGUAUGUGCCUGGAAUGAGCCGUCGAAAAUCAAUAGCGUGAGACACUCCAGACAAAGCCAACAGGAGGCAACCCUUUCAAUCAGCAGCAUCAGAUGUACGACGAGUAUUCUCCACGCGUCGAUGGCCAUCAGCAGCCCCGAGGACACGGACACGGACACGGACAUGGACACGGACACAAUGCGAUGCUAUCGCAGAUCAAGUUGCUUUAACCUCCCCAUCAAUUAAAGUAAGAGGCUUUUUCUUUAUUUUAUCUAUUGUGGCUUUUGGUCCAGCUGUUGGCUGUAUUUGGUUGAAUUUUAAGUGAAAUUUCAAUAUUUAUAAAUUUA
RNAcentral lists this small RNA (2216 nucleotides) under Drosophila pseudoobscura pseudoobscura. RNAcentral's name for it is "GA31912". The record is from RNAcentral. Lineage: Eukaryota; Metazoa; Arthropoda; Insecta; Diptera; Drosophilidae.